UACGGAGGGCGCAAGCGUUGUUCAGAAUCACUGGGCGUAAAGCGCGUGUAGGCGGUUCGGCAAGUCGGCUGUGAAAGCCCGAGGCUCAACCUCGGAACUGCAGCCGAAACUGCCGGGCUCGAGUCCCGGAGAGGGUGGCGGAAUUUCAGGUGUAGAGGUGAAAUUCGUAGAUAUCGGAAGGAACGCCAGAGGCGAAGGCGGCCGCCUGGACGGUGACUGACGCUGAGACGCGAAAGCGUGGGGAGCAAACAGG
RNAcentral lists this ribosomal RNA (253 nucleotides) under uncultured bacterium. Its description in RNAcentral is "partial 16S ribosomal RNA". It matches the Rfam family "Bacterial small subunit ribosomal RNA", at positions 524 to 776 of the family's 1533-position model. The record is from RNAcentral.